AGCCCCGCCAGCCCAGCUAAAGCAGACGGCUCGCACUGCGACCCGAAGCGGGCCCAGCACAGGGAUCACAUUGUCGGGGUGACCUGGAUCCUACUUGAAGCCUUUGAGCUGGACUGUGGCUUUAUCCCUGAGGCCAGGCUUCAUGUCCAGAUGGCCAUGCCAGAGGUUGACGUGGCAGAGAAGGAGUGUGACACAGGCCAGUGGAGCGAGUGGAGCCAGCCUGUGUGCUUCCAGGCUCCCCAGAGACAAGGAACAGUAAGAGGACCUUGUGCAUGAAUAAUUUGUUUCCACACUACAGAGUGGGUAAUAAGCAGAUUAGUAAAAACAAUUCUGCUUCACUUCAAUAACAGCCUCCUCCAACUCAUUUUUUCUCAACAAACUUAUUUUUCCAGCAGAAGAAUCCCAGACUUCUUAGAGAACCCAGUGACUUUUUGCACCUUAAAUCUGUGAAAUCCUCAUGUUUUCUUCUGCCGUAUCCAUAGUUCAAACAAAGAUGAGGCAAAGCUAGAUGCAUUCCUGAAGGAACCCAAGAAAUUCCUCUCUUUAUUUCUCUGGAAUGAAAU
RNAcentral lists this long non-coding RNA (563 nucleotides) under Homo sapiens (human). RNAcentral's name for it is "non-protein coding lnc-TRIM28-12:1". Lineage: Eukaryota; Metazoa; Chordata; Mammalia; Primates; Hominidae. The record is from RNAcentral.